RNAcentral lists this ribosomal RNA (465 nucleotides) under uncultured bacterium. Its description in RNAcentral is "partial 16S ribosomal RNA". It matches the Rfam family "Bacterial small subunit ribosomal RNA", at positions 338 to 795 of the family's 1533-position model. The record is from RNAcentral.
CCUACGGGUGGCAGCAGUGGGGAAUAUUGCGCAAUGGGCGAAAGCCUGACGCAGCGACGCCGCGUGAGGGAUGAAGGUCUUCGGAUCGUAAACCUCUGUCAGCAGGGAAGAACGGUCACUGUGCUAAUCAGCAGUGAAUUGACGGUACCUGCAAAGGAAGCACCGGCUAACUCCGUGCCAGCAGCCGCGGUAAUACGGAGGGUGCGAGCGUUAAUCGGAAUUACUGGGCGUAAAGCGCUCGUAGGCGGUAUGUCAAGUCAAGGGGGAAAUCCCCGCGCUCAACGUGGGAACUGCCUUUGAAACUGGUGAACUGGAGUGUGUGAGAGGAAAGUGGAAUGCCAGGUGUAGGAGUGAAAUCCGUAGAUAUCGGGAGGAACAUCAGUGGCGAAGGCGACUAUCUGGCACAUAACUGACGCUGAGGAGCGAAAGCGUGGGUAGCAAACAGGAUUAGAUACCCGAGUAGUC